CGGGGGGUGGCGCAGCCCGGUUUAGCGCGCUUGCUUGGGGUGCAAGAGGUCGUGAGUUCGAAUCUCAUCCCCCCGACCA
Molecule: transfer RNA, 79 nt
Filed under: Omnitrophica bacterium RIFCSPHIGHO2_02_FULL_46_20
Lineage: Bacteria; Pseudomonadati; Candidatus Omnitrophota
Also listed under: 3 other names
Description: tRNA-Pro
Rfam family: tRNA
About the family: Transfer RNA (tRNA) molecules are approximately 80 nucleotides in length. Their secondary structure includes four short double-helical elements and three loops (D, anti-codon, and T loops).
Source: RNAcentral